CUGGACUGGAACAGUAAUUUGUGAAGGGUUUUAAAUGAAAGAGCAAGUGUUCAGACUCCUAGAGAACUCUGAAGACUAAACUGAAUUGAAAUUUGCAGCAAUAUAUGCUAGGGAACUCAUAAUACAUUGCUGAUUACAGGAGUGCAGAGAUGAAAAGUUUAAUAUCAACUCUGGCUCUCCUUCACUGCUAGGGCUAAAUGUGAAUAUUAUCCAAGGAUGUUUCUAAAUGAAUCUCCAGUAGUUCUCUCUUUCCAAGUCAGAUCUCAGAAUCUCUUCACUUGAGUCAAGCUACUCCCAGCUUUGGCACACAUCUGGUCCAACACUACUUUGGGAUAUGUUUUGUUAAGGUUGCUGCUCUGCCUGGAAGGCUCUCAUUCCUCUGCUGCUUGACCCGAGCUUUCCUUCCUCUAAGAACUGCUAGAGGCUCCUAGAUGCCUUUCCAAACCAACUUCUCUUCUAUGAGAUCAGCUCUCAGCUUUGUAUUCCUUGGCGUCUAUGGAGGCCCAGAACUGAAGCUGUUAACAAUGAGAUAGGCAUCUCAAGGAGAAUGAAACUGGUAGGUAAUAACAGAAUGGAUAACAUUUCCAGAGUACUUGUUUCAUAGCAGAUAUUGGUAUAAGGACUUUGCAUAGUUUAAUUAUUUUAGUGUGUAUACAAACCUUGAACCUUAAUAUAUUAUAUUCCUCUUGCCAUCCCAUGGGCAUUGAAGUUAAAUAACUUGUUUGUUUCUCUGCGAUGAGUUAGUUGAACAUCUGAAUUUGAACGUAGGGAGCCUAGCUUCAGGGCCCAUAGCAUAAUCACUUACAUUUAGCCUCUCCCAGAAGCCUGCAUCAGAUACAUUCUGGGGGCAUCCUGGCAUUACAGUACAGGGAAAAGGCCAGACUGGCAGACAGAACAGGCACAAGGAGACUAAGAAGGAAGGUCUAGCAAGGCAGAAAAGGCAAAUCUUUUCAUGAUAAACUGUCAGCAUCAGGUAGUAAGCUUUGC
This 987-nucleotide long non-coding RNA is filed under the name Callithrix jacchus (white-tufted-ear marmoset). RNAcentral's name for it is "lncRNA (ENSCJAG00000075765.1)". Lineage: Eukaryota; Metazoa; Chordata; Mammalia; Primates; Cebidae. The record is from RNAcentral.